RNAcentral lists this ribosomal RNA (399 nucleotides) under uncultured bacterium. RNAcentral's name for it is "partial 16S ribosomal RNA". It matches the Rfam family "Bacterial small subunit ribosomal RNA", at positions 338 to 734 of the family's 1533-position model. The record is from RNAcentral.
CCUACGGGAGGCAGCAGUGAGGAAUAUUGGUCAAUGGCCGGAAGGCUGAACCAGCCAAGUAGCGUGAAGGACGACUGUCCUACGGAUUGUAAACUUCUUUUAUCCGGGGAUAAAGUUGUCCUCGUGAGCCUGUUCGCAGGUACCGCAUGAAAAAGCAUCGGCUAACUCCGUGCCAGCAGCCGCGGUAAUACGGAAGGUGCGAGCGUUAUCCGGAUUUAUUGGGUUUAAAGGGUGCGUAGGCCGGGCUGUAAGCGUGCCGUGAAAGUUUGUGGCUCAACCAUGGGGGUGCGGCGCAAACUGGCGGCCUUGAGUGGGCGGAAGGAAGGCGGAAUGCGUGGUGUAGCGGUGAAAUGCUUAGAUAUCACGAAGAACUCCGAUUGCGAAGGCAGCAUGCCGGCG